Molecule: transfer RNA, 75 nt
Filed under: Nitrosopumilus adriaticus
Lineage: Archaea; Thermoproteati; Nitrososphaerota; Nitrososphaeria; Nitrosopumilales; Nitrosopumilaceae
Also listed under: 7 other names
Description: tRNA-Arg (TCG) (tRNA-Arg-TCG-1-1)
Rfam family: tRNA
About the family: Transfer RNA (tRNA) molecules are approximately 80 nucleotides in length. Their secondary structure includes four short double-helical elements and three loops (D, anti-codon, and T loops).
Source: RNAcentral
GGACUCGUUGCACAGCCUGGAUAGUGCGAGCGGCUUCGAACCGCUAGGUCGAGGGAUCGAAGCCCUCCGAGCCCU